RNAcentral lists this ribosomal RNA (497 nucleotides) under uncultured bacterium. Its description in RNAcentral is "partial 16S ribosomal RNA". It matches the Rfam family "Bacterial small subunit ribosomal RNA", at positions 28 to 507 of the family's 1533-position model. The record is from RNAcentral.
GAUGAACGCUGGCGGCGUGCCUAAUACAUGCAAGUCGAGCGAACAGAUCAGGAGCUUGCUCCUUUGACGUUAGCGGCGGACGGGUGAGUAACACGUGGGUAACCUACCUAUAAGACUGGAAUAACUCCGGGAAACCGGGGCUAAUGCCGGAUAACAUUUAGAACCGCAUGGUUCUAAAGUGAAAGAUGGUUUUGCUAUCACUUAUAGAUGGACCCGCGCCGUAUUAGCUAGUUGGUAAGGUAACGGCUUACCAAGGCAACGAUACGUAGCCGACCUGAGCGGGUGAUCGGCCACACUGGAUCUGAGACACGGUCCAGACACCUACGGGAGGCAGCAGUAGGGAAUCUUCCGCGAUGGGCGAAAGCCUGACGGAGCAACGCCGCGUGAGUGAUGAAGGUCUUCGGAUCGUAAAACGCUGUUAUUAGGGAAGAACAAAUGUGUAAGUAACUGUGCACGUCUUGACGGUACCUAAUCAGAAAGCCACGGCUAACUACGUG